AGGCUCAGAGGAGUCAGCGUCUAUGAAGCAAUAAUAAUCCUUCAUAUACUUGAAGACAAGUAUUACAUUUCCCUCCAGCAGCCUCUUCUCAUUGCGCACUGCCUAAGUGUUCUGUAUUACCUAUCCUCAAGUCCCUUGAGCUGCUUAAUGCCUCGCUAUUUACACACUUCUCCCAUUCACUGUGAGUUAUAUACAGCAUGACAUGGCCUUUGGCAUCGAAAGGAGAUGGUUUUAAAAGCACGCUAGCUCAACACAGAAGAGAAACUAAAAGAAGCAGAACUGACUACAUACCUCUCCUCUCGGCUGGCUGGGCCUUCCAGUGCAAAUCAGAAUUGCCCCGUGGGUAAAAGGGUAUUCUCUCGAUGUGUAAAUUGAUCUUCCCAACAAAUGAGUUUGCUUGUUUACUACCUUGGAAAGGGUCUUUUCAUGAAAAACAAAAAAUGGUGAGCAGAAAUUUAUGAGAAGCUGUGAUUCCAGAUGGUCUUUGAGAUUUAUUGACUUUCUCCUUGGCUCUUUAAUUGCAGGUGUAUUACAGAUCUUUUACUUGCCCCAAGGUCAGUCAGAUACCAGUUUCCCUGACUUGGUCCAUGUUCACAGGGCGCAGGAAAAGCUCCCCAUGGAGUAAAUGGCUGAGGGGAAAGGCCAACAACUCCUUCCCUCCCUGAUUCCAGGCAGGAUGCUGGGAUACUGACUGUGGCUAGUGGACUCUUCACCUAUGGCUGCCAGCUCCAACCCUUUGCUACAUAUAUCUAAGGGACAGGUAUGAAAGCAUUAGAGCUGUUCUGUUUCUCUGGAGAGAGUUUACGUAUUCUCCAUCAGGUUCCCAGGAUAGGGGCCCAAUCGGAGUUGUAGCCGCAGGCCUACACCACAGCCACAGCAACUCGGGAUCUGAGCCACUUCUGCGACCUACACCACAGCUCACGGCAACGCCGGAUCCUUAACCCACUGAGCAAGGCCAGGGAUCGAACCUGAAACCUCAUGGAUGCUAGUCGGGUUUGUUAACCGCUGAGCCACGAUGGAAACUCCAGGUUCUGAAAUUUCAUAUCAAGAUUGUGGACAUGGGUGCUUUUUAGAGUUUGGGAAAAUUAUCCCUUAAUUCAAUAAACAAAAUCAUUGUGCAGCUAUUCUAUGCCAUGAGAAUGAAUGUAUCCAUGACAAGCCAUUUGACAUAGCCUUUUCCCUUCUUAGAAUUUACAGUCUGAGAGGGGUGGGGGUGCAGUUGGAAAGAGAGGUGUGAAAGUUUGCCUAAGAGGCAAGGCAGUGUCCCACUUAAGAGCCUAUGUGAGAUUCCUCAGUUUCAAAUCACAGCUCUACCACUUACUACUGUAUCUUCUUGGUUAAGUUAAUUAAACUCUUCAACCUCAGUUUCCUUACCUGAAAAAUGGAAUGAUAGUGAUACAACUGAAUGCCUCGGGUUGUUGAGUAAAUGAGGUAACUUCCUGGCACCUAGCAGAGGCUCAGUAAAUUCUAGCUGUCAUUAUUAGUGUGAGAAGUGACAUACCCAAGUCAGAGUCAUGGUUUUUCCAGCUCAAGAUUCUGUCUCCGGAGGGUGUCAGGCAUAUUUUGUGGAAGAGCCUUAGCUUUUCUCUUUAAAUAUUUAUUUAAAAUGGUUAGUGACGUAUACUAUGUUUUCCAGUUUCCCUAAAUAGUUUGUUUUGGAGAUGCCAUUUGGAAUAGAUUUAGAUUUCUCUGCAGCAGAGUAAAUAGUAUCCUUCUUCACAACAAGAUCAAUUAAUAGCUGUUCCCUUCCUGGGAUUCUAGGAAUCUUAAUCUAGAAUGUUUCUAGGGUGAGUGUUUAUUUGACUCCUUACUUCUAGUAUAGAGGCUGGGUUUCCAUUUAGUCGCCUGGGGAGUGUAAGGUGUGGGCUGUCUGGGGAAAUGAGAAAUUUAGACUUCAGGAGAAAUUUCAGUAGACAUACUUAUAUUGAGAAUUUGGAAUAAUUAGAACUGAAUAGCCCAAAUUUACCAAUUCAACUGAACUGUAACCUCAGACUGAUAAAUAAUUCUUAAGUGAAUCUGGUCCCAGAGUCACAAAGAGUUAGCCUUUCCCUGCUGAGGAGACUGAAAGGUAUGCUUUUGAAAGCCAGGUCCCUAGCUGGAGUUGCCCGGGAGUCCCUUCACUUGCUGCAGGUGACACGAAUUUGCCCUCUUCCCAACCCUGACCCAGAGCAUGUUGAAAAUUUUAAGCCUUGAUGUGGUUCUUAGCUUGGAGUCUCUUUUUUGCUCAGUACCUCCUCAAGUCAGACUUUCCAUAAGAAACAUGAAAGCAAGUUUCUGUGAUAAUAAUUCUUCCUCAAAAGCACCAUGUUUCUACUAAGAAGUGACGGAAUCAGAAGGAGAAUAGUCUUAUUCUUGGAGGAUGAUGUUUGGACCAGGACAGAUUGAUAGCUCCUAACUCAAAACAAAGAAUGUAGUCAAAACUUUUUUGUUAGUUUCUUUAUUCCCCAUCAUUUAAACUGUCACCUCCUUCCUCCCCUUGAAGGAAAACAUUAAGAAAGGUAGGCUCAAACUCGUGUUGGGCUUGUUUCACUUUAUAUCGUUUUUAACUGUGUUUUUGCUUCCUGAGUCAUGGCAGGUUCAUUAACAUGGAAUCAUUAACAUUAUUGUUUUAAAAGUUCUCUUUUGUCAAAAAUGUGAGUUUUUCCAGCACGUUAAUAACUCUCAUCCAUGUGAAGCCCAACUCCUUGAAUUUCUCACCGUGCAACAGGCUUCUUUUCAGGUAGCUCUGAAGGAUUUGAACAGAAAGUUUAAUUACAUGUCUUUUUCUUUCUUUCUUUCUUUUUCCCAGAAAAUGUACUUAAGGCAAAAGUUUGCUUCAGCAGCUAAUAACUUACCAGGGGUUUGUUGAAUACACAGUAUAAUCUCUUAGAGUCAUGGUAACCGGGGUGCAAAGAAGAGGCUUAAUUGAAUACAAUGUGUACUGUACUGUGUCUUUGGAAUGACAAUCGCCAUACUUCAGUGUACACUGCUCAUUUCUGGAAGUCUCUGGAGUCUAAAUUAUGUAAAACUGAAAACAUUCUCUGGCUAAGCAGCUGAGAAACUAAUUUUUUGAUGUUGCUGUUGUCCACCUAAGUGGGCCAAUACGUGCUAAACUGCUAAGGCUUGCACAUUUAAUGGCCACACUGCACCAUGUAAUUUCAGACAGCAAAAAGUAUGUGCUGCUGGUAUGAUCCCCUUUGGUUGUCUCAGAGAAGUGUGGAAAAAGAGCAAAGUACAGACACCUGCGUAAACACGAAAGAGCAGCGGUCCUCCUGACAGAAACCCCGGGCAGAGGCUAUAGUUCAGAAAAGUUUGCACCCAAGUCCUGUAGCCAUUGCCCCAAAGAGAGCUUCCUUUUCUCACUUAUAUUCUUUGCAUGUGGAUCUGUUUGCAGGCUUAGUCCCCGGGAGAGAGAUUCUGAGCUGUCUUUGUGCUAAAUUAAACAUUAGUUUUCUCCUUGGGAACCUGAUCUUCCAUAGACCAGGCAACUAUAUCUUUCUGAGAGAGAUCUGAGCUCCCUCAGGAAGAGACCAGCUCGGGAGCCUCCUUACCUCUGCUUUUUGCUUCCCUGGCAUGGGUGUGUGUUGCAUGGGAAUUGCCUUUUCUAACCAGGUCCCUUAAAGCAAGGACUUGUACUCUCGUACUCAGUAGAGUGUGGGAGGACCCAGGCCAGCUUGGCUUGGCAUAUAAUACAUGGAAAUGGUCAGAGCAGCACCCAGAUGAUAGAGGAUUUCAGCUGCCCACGGGAAUGAGUUUCCUUGGCUCACGGCAUCCCAAAUUUUGAACCCAAGGCAAUGAAAGGGAGUAGUAGGCAAAAUAGCCAUCUCAUUUAGCCCUCUCACCUCUCCAUCCUGCCCAUCCCCAAGAGAGCUAGUUGGUAUUGAUCUAAAAAUAGACAUUAUUCUAUCAAUUUGUACAUCUUAUGAGCCCUUAGGGAGAAAACAGACCAAACCCCUUUCUCAUAGGUGAAGAAAUAUUAAAGCCCAUUUAAAAGAAAAUAUUUUGAGUUCCCAUAGCAGUAGAGGUAGAACUAGAACCCAAGUUUUCUGACACCAAUCCCAGGUUAUAAAACGUAGUCCUUUCAAUUAAUCUAUGAAAAGAACAGUUAAGGGCAAUGCAGGACUUAUUUUAAAGGUUUUUUUUUUUUAAAAAAAAAAUACGAGAGUAUAGUUGGUUUACAAUGUGUCAAUUUCUGCUGUACAGCAAAUCGACUCAGUCAUACAUAUAUGUUCUAUUUUAAAUCUUGAUCGCAGAAGGANUAUAUAUUCUAUUUUAAAUCUUGAUCGCAGAAGGAACGUGGAGUUUAGAGCCUAGGGUAAGUUGUUUUUUAAAUGAUCACCAUGAUUCUGUCAAGCCCACUUGCCCCUUUGCAAUGUGACUUUACUACUCCUCGAAUUGAAAAAUGGAUGCUCUUUCUCCCCUUGAACCUUGAAGAGUCCUGUGACUUGUUUUAACCAAGAGUCUGUGACAGAAAUGGUGUUGUGCUACUUCUGAGGAUGGGCUUUAAGAAGCUCUCUUAGACUUAAAAUCUGUUAAGGGUAAGUCUUAGGUGUUUUUUCCAUUAAACAAGCAAACAAGUAAGUAAGUAAAUAAAAACAAAGAGGGCAGGGCAGGAGAAAACUUGGUGACGUGAUGGAUAUGUUUUUGGCCUUGACGGUGGUGAUGGUUUCCUGGGUAUGUGUUUAUCCCCAAACUCAUUGAGUUGUGUACAUUAAAUAUGUAGAGCUCUUUUAUGUCAAUCAUAUCUUAAUAAAAUGGUUUUUUAAAAAGUCUUCUUGGGACACUGAGACCAACAUAUAUUGAAGCUGGUCUAGCCAGCUAUAGGAUGAGUGACAGGCUGAGAACCAAGGUGCUCCUGCCUUCAAUCAGCACCAACUGCCAACACGAGAGUGAGGCCACCUUGGACCAACCAGUCUUCCAACUCAGUGCAGCCAAACGAGUGAGUGAGCCCACAUGAAAUCAGCAGAGGAACUGCCUAGUCAACCCAGAGGACCAUGGGAAAUAUUGCAGAAUUAUUUUAAGCGCCGAAGUUUUGGGGGUGGUUUGUAACUUAGCAGAGGUUAACUGAAACAGAGCCAGAAAACCUUAGCACGGAAGACAGUCCUGCCUCUUCUGGUGUGUUACCCCAAGGACUGGUUACAUAACAUCUUUGAAGACAUUUUAUGCUUAUGUACUAUAUGAGAUAAUACAUCAAAGGACCUAGGGUGUUGUCUGGCACGUGGUACCCUUAACAGACAUUAGCGUCCUUGCUUUGUCUUUUGUUCCUUCUCUCUGUAUUAUAAUUCACUUCAUGGGCAUCAAUAUUCUUGUAGGUUUCGCUAGCUCACUCUUCCUCUGAACAGCAAUUUAUUUUGUCGCUCCUGGUUGAUGGCCUGGUGGUGUCCUUCCUCCUAACUCCCGAAUUUCCAGUAUUCUCGUUCUGCUCCAGGGAACACAUCUGCCUUCGAUAGUCUACCCUUAAAAUAGAAAAGGGUUAACCUCAUAAAGAUGUCACUCCCCUUGUACUGCUAUGCUGCCCUUGGGAGGGUCAAACAGCUAGCAAAUAUAUAUGGGCAAUGUAAUUGCCUUUGAUCUCCUAGGUCACAGAAGACUCUCCUAGCCAGUGUGGCAUCCAGGUGGGACAUAAGCAGAUUCUGUCUUGAAGAGCAGAGUUUCUCCGUCUGUUGAUCGCUAUUUUUGUUUUUGCUAGCAAAUGACUCUAAGGGCCUCAUUUUUUCCCAUCUUAGGCUUUGCAACAAAUAAUAAGCAAAGACAGUGAUAUAAUGAUAACUAUAUUAUACUUCUUAUCUUCUUAGUGAUAAUGGAAAGUAGUGGCUGCAGAAUUAGGUGUUGAAGGUCCCAGUGCUCCCACUGCUACCAGCUAGUAGCAAUUUAGUCAAGUCCUUUUACUUCCCUGGUAGUUACUUUCCGUCUUGGAAGGAGAGUGAGGGAGGGGCGCUUGGUCUGUGGUUGGCUCACCUCUGAAGUCCCGUUUGCACUAAUACACUUGGAGUAAGUUCCCUGGUAUGUUACUUUUGUUUUUCAACCUUCAAUAUAUAUUCAAUAUUCAAUAUAUAUUGAAGGUUGAAAAUAUAUCUGUUAGGAAGAGUAGAAAGAAGGAGAGAUGACAAGGGUGAGAAUGUUUUAUUUUGUUUUUUUGAAGGAAGCACUAGUAAGAGGGUCUGAAGUAAUCUCAGGAAAAGGGCUGUGGCAGAGGGCAAAUUAACAGCCUUAUUAACUGCUUAGCAUCCUUCCUAGAGGUAAUGAACAAAAUCUCUCCAUAUCUGACCCUUUUGGAUGGGGUUUAAGGGUUCCAGUAUGAGAAACACUGUUGUAGAGUUUGAUUUAUUGUGUUUACUUUGGGGGGGAAGCACUGAUUUUUUUUUUCCCCCUAGGUCCUCCCAACUACAUUUGGCAGCAUAUCUGUGGGUAAAGAAGUUUUCCAAUCUAAUCCCCCUGUGAAAUAAUUACAUGAAAUAUAAAAUGUAAAACGAAAAGGAAAAUAUUCUCACAGAGCCUUCCUUCCUCUGGAAUUGACUGGUGUUUUAGCUAUAUCCAUCGUGUUCUCCAUCUGUUUGUCUCUCGUUUGUAUGUAUAUAAAACAAUUGAAACAUGCAAAUGAAGGGAUGGGAUUUUAUAUUGUCACCACUUCAUUUUUUAAACAUGUUUCUGCUUUAAAGGGGAACUGCAAAAGAGAGUCACUGAGAAAUUGGCCUGGAGGAGGAGUAUUCAACCCACAGCCUCUCCUCUGCCCCUUAUCACUAAAACUCUAAACAGAGAGUAUAAUCACCUAUUUCCCAAGGGCAGCCCUAAGCCCUUAAAACUCAGAUCUGUUUAAGGAUUUACUAGAACUGGAAAAGAGAAAUGCACAGGAUCUGCUCCAAACCAACAAAGGAAAAUUUACCCGACCAAAUAUUCAAUCUAGAGAAUUUCUUUGAUAGCACACUCUCCUCCCUCCCUAUCUCUUGAUUUUGUUAGGACACAGCUCUUCAAAUUGCAUCUUCACGACUCCUAGAAUCUUGGGAGUCUGUGGAUCUGAGGCUCCAGGCCAGCCCAGGGCAUUUUCUUUCACAAAACAAGAUAUAACUAGCAGGAAGCCCAAAAGGGCAUUUGGUGGUAGUUGUCGUUUAUUUUGUUUCAAAGGGUAGACACACUCAGCUUCAUUGUCUGUUGGCUCAGAGCCAGAAGGAUGGUGGCAUUUUUCCUAGUAACUUAUGAAGUCUGUAGCUUUUCUUCUGAGAUUUUUUUUUUUUUUUUAGGUGGAAAUGCUUGAUCUUAUGCUAUGAACCAUGGCUUUUCUUUUUAAAAACACUAUGAUAAAGGAAGUCUAGUUGCAUUUCUUUUCCAAUAGAUUGGGUUUUACUUUUGCUUAGAAAAUUACAUGCACACCCAUGCACACAAUUUACCAUGGUUAUUUUUUAGUAUAUAUAGUGUACUAUUAUUAGUAUAUAGAGAUACAAAUUGAUUAUAUGGGUGAUUUACAGAGAAAAUAGAAGUAAGGUGAUACAUUAAAGAGGAUGAUGGGGAAGACAGUUUUUAAGGAGAUUGCUCAGGAAGACAGGAGUCUGCUAAACUGCAGAGAGUAGGAAAGAGAAUGUUGUAUCCCACUGGUCAGUGUGGAGGGACAGGAGACCUCUAUUCUGGUCCACGCUUCACCGGUAACUAAAAGGGUGGCCUUGGGGCCAGUCAGUCCUCCUUUGCUUUUUGGAGUUCCCAUCAGCAACCCUAAAGGUUUGGAUUGCUCAGCAUUUUGCUUGGCUGGAUUAUGCUUGACACCCAGUAUUUGGCUCUGGUAUCAUCUCCUUGGAGACCCCUCCCUGGCUCCCCUAACUCUUGUUGACACACGUGCUUGAUGUCCCUCUCUCCUCUUUCCCUGUCACCUUAUCCCUUGGUAGAGGUUUUAUUGUCUUCAUAACUUCCAUCACCGUCUGCGUUUAUGUUGAUUCCUCAUUCAUUUGUGCCUUUCCUAUGUUUCCCCACUGGAACAUAAGCCCCAUGAGACCAGAGACCUUAUCAGUCUUGUUCACCACGCGCAUCCCCAGCCCCUAGCAGUUCCUGGAACAUUUUGGACCCACAAUGAAUAUUCGUUGAGUGAAUGACUAGAUCAGUGGCUUUUAAACUAGAGAUGUCUCACAAGUUUUUCAGGGAUGGAUGUAAGAAAGAGAGACGGAGAUACAUGUGGUGGGCCUCCAAGUUCCCCACCUCCUGUUUAAUUAUGUGUAUGUUAUGUAUAUGUGUUAUAUCUGUGUCGAUAUAUAUCAAGAGGUCUUUUUUGGCUGUAUGUGAGGCGUACAGAAGUUGCCAGGUCAGGAAUCAAACCCACAUCACAGCAGCAACUGGAGCCAUGGCAGUGGCAAUGCCGGAUGCUGAACCUACUGACCCACACGGGAACUCACUAUAUAUCACUAAGUUUCUAAUGACACUAAAAUAUGUAACGUUAUAUAUAAAAACAGUAGUUUUUAAUCACACUAAGGCAUAUAUGUAUGUAUUGUGGAUAUCUAUAGAUAUGGAUAUGGGAUAUGGAUAUGCCUUAGUGUGAUUAAAAACAUGACUCCAUGUGCUACAACCAUUUGAAACAUACAGGGGCAUGAUGACCUUUUAAGAUUGUUCCCAGAUUGGAAUUUCUGUUGUGGCUUAGCGAAAACAAUCUGACUAGCAUCCAUGAGGAUGCAGGUGCGAUUCGUGGCCCCGCUCAGUGGGUUAAGGAUCUGGCAUUGCCAUGAGCUGUGGUGUAGGUCGCAGAUGCAGCUUGGGUCUGGCGUUGCUGUGACUGUGGUGUAGGCCGGCAGCUACAGCUCCGAUUUGACCCCUAGCUUGGGAACUUCCAUAUGCCUCAGGUAUGGCCCUAAAAAGACAAAAAAAAAAAA
Molecule: long non-coding RNA, 8825 nt
Filed under: Sus scrofa (pig)
Lineage: Eukaryota; Metazoa; Chordata; Mammalia; Artiodactyla; Suidae
Description: lncRNA (ENSSSCG00015040267.1)
Source: RNAcentral